Molecule: long non-coding RNA, 3982 nt
Organism: Esox lucius (northern pike)
Lineage: Eukaryota; Metazoa; Chordata; Actinopteri; Esociformes; Esocidae
Exons: 10
Source: RefSeq, a predicted model, not a curated record
AGAUUGACGAUUUGUUUAUAAACCGAAGAUUUACUUUUUUCUUGAAAGAACGUCAACAGGGGUAAGGGUAAAACUUAAAUUUCGAACAAUGUCGUUGCAUUCUGUUCAUUUAUAUGUAAAUAUUUUUAUACUUGUAUACAGAUGGACAUUUAUCCUGGGGAAUUGUUCAAUAUCUACACUUAUACGUUAGUUAUCGUUACAGUAUUUUCUUUUUUAGUAAAAUAGCAUAGCGGUUCUCUAGUUAGCUAACGCUGCCAGCUAGUUUGCAAGUAUACGUUGCUAAAUUUUCAAAAUUCUGUGAGAUGUGCUAGAAAAUGUAUUAUUACUAGAUUACCCAGACCUGGAUUUGAUUAUUAUAUUGUGCUUAAUCUCCCAAUGUUUUUAUUAUACCUUUUCUGAGGAUUUCAUUGUUCCCAAUAAAGUCCUGCUUUUACCAAUACAGUACCUAUUCACAUUCUAAUGUAUUCACAUUUUAACUACUCACUACAAUUCAGCAGUAUUGUUCAUCAGUAUAGAUUAAAUCAAUAUGUUGAUUACGAUUUGGUAGAGAUAAAGGCUAAAAUACCACAGUAAGAGUGUAACCUAAGAUGUAUAGGCUUUUUAAGCAACACCAUAAGAGCUUUUCUUAGGCGCAUAGCAGAGUGCCUGGACACCUUGUUGUAUAUUGGCAGUAUAUCAUUAACCCCCAAGAUGCUGCAAUGCUCUUAUAAACCAGUUACCAACGAUUAAAAAAAAGUUAUGUCAUACCAGUUGUCAUACUGUCAGCCAAACAAUCAGGAUUGAAAGCAUUCAGUUUACAAUUAAGAUUUGUUUCUCAACUUCACACGCGUUUUUAAAAGUUCACCGUCCCUUAGCUUUGUUACUGUGAGUAAAAGUGCCUGAUGUACAACAAGCUUUCACUUUUACUAUGACAGAGCUCGAUAUAAAUACGUGUUUAUAUAUUCCUAUGUAGAUCGCAGAUCACCUACACUUUAGUGUGGCUGGGCAUAUGUCUGUUUUAUUUGCAUCCCAGCUACUCUAUUUUGGAUUUGAAUCAAUAACACACACUUUAUUUUUCUCUAAAAGAGUGUCUGGUCAAAGUCGAAGGGCCGAACACGAGGUGGCAAUUCUGCUUGGAGAUGCAUUCCUUGAAGAGAUCAACAAGUUUAUUUUGUAUUAUGUAGCCAUAUGGGAUUCAUUUCACUCCAGCCACUUAAUUCCCAUUAUUUUCCUACUGUAUCUUUCAUCACGUUGCAUGUUCUAACCCCAUGAGAAGGGUCAGUCACAGGAGAAAGGCCAAGUGAAAAGCCAUGAAAGCCCCAGAGUCAACUGGUGGAAGAGGUACUAGGAUGGGCAGCGUGUGACCACCACUAAACGGAGGAAGAGUGGGCCACGUCAAAAGGUUUCACCUGCUGUUCCUGUUCCUCGAUGUCAACGUCUUCCUCAAUCUCUACCACCUAUCAAGAUGCUGGCCGGUAUGAUCGGAAUGUUCCUGUGCUGACAUGCAAUCUUUGCAAUAAGUAUUGGACUCCAGAACUCAAUGACUUUGUAAGGAGUGGGUAUUGGCCAGCCACCAUGCAAGCACAGACUUUAUUCCAUCAAGACCUGUUUCAUUCGUUUGAGGCAAUGAAGACAACUGCUCCAGGGUUUAGACAAGCCUUCACGGCAAUGCUGGACCAGAGAACAAAGCACCUUGGAAGGAUUGGCAAAGAAACCCCGAAUGCCUUUCAAAAGGGUUUUCUACAGUAUGUAUACUGUAAAUUUGAAGUGAACUGUUUGGAAUUGAGCAGUUUGUCUGUCCAGCCUGUGCUCCUGAAAUGGUGGCUGUUUCAGUGGACAGCAACCAAAAACUUUAUCUGUUCCAGAAAACCAAUCAGUGAGUAGUAUGUGUCCUUCGAAGUUGUUGAUUCAGUAUAGGGUACUAUCUGUAUAUGCUCCAACUGUAAUGGUAGUCCAUAACAUCUUCUGAACUUAUGUUGUAGGGCUGAGGAGCCAGCCUUUUUUAAAGGAGUGAUUUUAGUCAAAGACAGUGAGAUGUUCAGCUUUGUUGAGGAGGUUAGGGGGGCUGUCAAGAGUAUUCUGUGGAGGGUGUGUGCAGAUCCAGGUGGGUGCAGGCACUACUCUUGGAGAAGAAGCUGAGCAGUUGAACAGCUUCCUGUCCAGAUGUGCCCUAACCACAAAUAAGAACUGACAUGCUAACUGUCCAUGCCAUGGGGUAGAAUGAACGAAAAAAGGACAGCCUCCACAUCUCCUUGUCAGACAGUAGAAAAGACAUUGGAGGUAACUGAAAGCCUGAAAAAGAUCCAGGACCAGUUUUAUUGCUCUGAUGACAUGCUGGAACAGUGGGUUUUAGAUGUCAACCAGUGGGCCAAUAGUGUUCCAACAUUCAGGUGAAGUUCAUGGUUUGCAGAUCUCCAUAGAAGAGCUCUUUGUGAGCAUUCGCCGCAAGAAUCAUUACCUCUACAGACAGAAUGAUCGUAACAAAAGGCUCCAGAAGGUCACUCGGAAGAUUGCAAAGCAAAAAAAAAAGGCUUCUAGAUACCAUCCAGAGGUAUAACAAAGUGCCCCAUCAUAAUGCUGUUGACGCAACUGCAGUUGGUCAGAAACUUGCAAACAACACUACAGAGAGCAUGAUCUGGUCAUGGCAAGAACAGAACACAGAUGUUGUUGACAUUCUCACCACAAAUAAGCUUUUUGACCAACGAAUGCUAAUCUCCCGACUGGCUGAAGAAAAGGACAUUCUUGUGAAGGAGAUGAUGCAGCACUGUCUUUACCUCAAAGACUUAGUGAAAACAGUCCAGUCACUGGUGGCUACCACACUGACAGGAAGUAUGUUUGAAUCUCAUAUUCAUUCUUCAUUACUCUUUCUGUGUAAAAUCUUUACGUUUUUGAAGGAAGUCCAAAUGGACUCCCGUCGGCUGGGUCCCAAGUUCUUAUCUGUCUGCUGAAGAGAAGACUGCAUGAACUCUGACUAAAACAGCAGACUGUAGCCAGCUCUUACAAAGACACUCUUGGUCAGUCCUUGGCUGGUGGAAGGUUAUUGUGAUGUGCUCCUGAGGCUCCCAAGAGGGGGGCCAUGUCUUCUUGCUGAAACAUACAAAAGGUGAAAAUUAGCUAGUAUAUUAAUAAUAAUUGUCAGUGACCAUUAGCUCUAGUUGAAAAGUGGGUCCAAACCAAGUCAGGAAUAUGCCUCCUACAGCAUAAGAGGCUCAUUCAUUCAAGUUUUUCCUUUAAUUUGUCCCCAUUCUUGUGCAUUGCUUAAACAUAAGGUAAUAGCUGUAGAGUUUAGUUUCCAGUCACAUGGCUCUGAGAGCAAAUGUUUCAAACAAGUUGACAAUAUUUCUUGCAAAUUAUGUGGCAAAUUAUGUCCUUACUUUGGUAUGGGUCAAUUUCUGUUUAAUUUUUUCUGGUAUAUUAACUCACAAAUAAUGUUACCUACUUAGCUACAAACCUUUCUUACACAGCUUUUGGACACAGAUUGCACAGGUAAAAUGUCCAAAGACUGAUGGUAUAGGCAUUAUGUGUUCAAAAACCUUUACACCUCAACAUGUGAAACAAUGCUCACUGAAGAACCAAACAAUUUUGAAUUACAAAUAUUUUGUCUUUCUUGUCUCUCUUUCCCUGUUUGGUUGCCAAAAUGGUGACGGCUGACUUCCUGUGCAGGAAGGCAAAAACAUCUGCUGAUAUACAUUUCUUAUUGAACACGGUCUCACACUUAAUAUACACAAAAACAAACAAUACAUACUGUCAUUAAUUUUGUGAGCUUGUGUGUGUUUAACGGAGACCUGAUUUGUGAGAAUUCACAAUUUAGUGGAUUCAGUACAAUAGUAUGGUGAGAUUAGUAUGGGCACUAGGGUCAUUAGUACACGCUUGUAGCUUUAAAUGAAGGAACGUCUUGUUACAGAGUUCUGGUCAAGGUUGGCGACUGGACAUAAACGCUACGGAAUCAGACCCCAAUCUGUGGCAGCUCCAAAAAAAAUAAAAUGGCUCAGUUAUAAAAAUA